Molecule: long non-coding RNA, 205 nt
Filed under: Mytilus galloprovincialis (Mediterranean mussel)
Lineage: Eukaryota; Metazoa; Mollusca; Bivalvia; Mytilida; Mytilidae
Source: RNAcentral
AAAAUUUGGUCCACAUAGUCUCCCUGCAAAAUGAAACAAAAUGUCGUUUUAAAAAAUAUGGGUCCAUGCACUCGUUUUCAAAUUAAAUCAGUUUGAAUGAUAAAAAUCAGUCGAAAAAUGCAUCUUUUCCCUAUAUGUCACAGUUAGACGUCACGAAAAUAACAUUUUACGUUAGCAACGUCAUUACCUCCCCUGUAACUGUAUC